GAAAGAUCUAUUACCGAGUGCGGGUCCUUUGGGCCCAACCUCCCAUCCGUGUCUAUUGUACCCUGUUGCUUCGGCGGGCCCGCCGCUUGUCGGCCGCCGGGGGGGCGCCUCUGCCCCCCGGGCCCGUGCCCGCCGGAGACCCCAACACGAACACUGUCUGAAAGCGUGCAGUCUGAGUUGAUUGAAUGCAAUCAGUUAAAACUUUCAACAAUGGAUCUCUUGGUUCCGGCAUCGAUGAAGAACGCAGCGAAAUGCGAUAACUAAUGUGAAUUGCAGAAUUCAGUGAAUCAUCGAGUCUUUGAACGCACAUUGCGCCCCCUGGUAUUCCGGGGGGCAUGCCUGUCCGAGCGUCAUUGCUGCCCUCAAGCCCGGCUUGUGUGUUGGGUCGCCGUCCCCCUCUCCGGGGGGACGGGCCCGAAAGGCAGCGGCGGCACCGCGUCCGAUCCUCGAGCGUAUGGGGCUUUGUCACAUGCUCUGUAGGAUUGGCCGGCGCCUGCCGACGUUUUCCAACCAUUCUUUCCAGGUUGACCUCGGAUCAGGUAGGGAUACCCGCUGACUU
Molecule: ribosomal RNA, 559 nt
Filed under: Aspergillus niger
Lineage: Eukaryota; Fungi; Ascomycota; Eurotiomycetes; Eurotiales; Aspergillaceae
Description: eukaryotic LSU rRNA
Rfam family: 5.8S ribosomal RNA (bases 200-353)
Source: RNAcentral